UGGGGAAUUUUGGACAAUGGGGGAAACCCUGAUCCAGCCAUCCCGCGUGUGCGAUGAAGGCCUUCGGGUUGUAAAGCACUUUUGGCAGGAAAGAAACGUCGCGGGUUAAUACCCCGCGAAACUGACGGUACCUGCAGAAUAAGCACCGGCUAACUACGUGCCAGCAGCCGCGGUAAUACGUAGGGUGCAAGCGUUAAUCGGAAUUACUGGGCGUAAAGCGUGCGCAGGCGGUUCGGAAAGAAAGAUGUGAAAUCCCAGAGCUUAACUUUGGAACUGCAUUUUUAACUACCGGGCUAGAGUGUGUCAGAGGGAGGUGGAAUUCCGCGUGUAGCAGUGAAAUGCGUAGAUAUGCGGAGGAACACCGAUGGCGAAGGCAGCCUCCUGGGAUAACACUGACGCUCAUGCACGAAAGCGUGGGGAGCAAACAGGAUUAGAUACCCUGGUAGUCCACGCCCUAAAACGAUGUCAACUAGCUGUUGGGGCCUUCGGGCCUUGGUAGCGCAGCUAACGCGUGAAGUUGACCGCCUGGGGAGUACGGUCG
This 541-nucleotide ribosomal RNA is filed under the name uncultured bacterium. RNAcentral's name for it is "partial 16S ribosomal RNA". It matches the Rfam family "Bacterial small subunit ribosomal RNA", at positions 355 to 888 of the family's 1533-position model. The record is from RNAcentral.